RNAcentral lists this ribosomal RNA (327 nucleotides) under uncultured bacterium. Its description in RNAcentral is "bacterial SSU rRNA". It matches the Rfam family "Bacterial small subunit ribosomal RNA", at positions 28 to 357 of the family's 1533-position model. The record is from RNAcentral.
GACGAACGUUGGCGGCGUGCCUAAUACAUGCAAGUCAACUGAAAUACCGGUAGCAAUACUGGUAUGGAGGUGGCGCACGGGUGAGUAACACGUAGGUAAUCUGCCUUCAGGUCUGACAUAACCCAUCGAAAGGUGAGCUAAUAUCAGAUGAUGCAGCGGCUUGACAUCAAGACAGUUGUUAAAGCUUCGGCGCCUGAAGAUGAGCCUGCGUCUGAUUAGCUAGUGGCGGGUAACGCCACCAGGCUGCGAUCAGUAGCUGGUCUGAGAGGAUGAUCAGUCACACUGGAACUGAGACACGGUCCAGACUCCGUACGGGAGCAGCAGUAA